AUUGAACGCUGGCGGCAGGCCUAACACAUGCAAGUCGAGCGGAUGAAGGGAGCUUGCUCCUGGAUUCAGCGGCGGACGGGUGAGUAAUGCCUAGGAAUCUGCCUGGUAGUGGGGGAUAACGUCCGGAAACGGGCGCUAAUACCGCAUACGUCCUGAGGGAGAAAGUGGGGGAUCUUCGGACCUCACGCUAUCAGAUGAGCCUAGGUCGGAUUAGCUAGUUGGUGGGGUAAAGGCCUACCAAGGCGACGAUCCGUAACUGGUCUGAGAGGAUGAUCAGUCACACUGGAACUGAGACGCGGUCCAGACUCCUGCGGGAGGCAGCAGUGGGGAAUAUUGGACAAUGGGCGAAAGCCUGAUCCAGCCAUGCCGCGUGUGUGAAGAAGGUCUUCGGAUUGUAAAGCACUUUAAGUUGGGGGGAAGGGCAGUAAGUUAAUACCUUGCUGCUUUGACGUUACCAACAGAAUAAGCACCGGCUAACUUCGUG
RNAcentral lists this ribosomal RNA (484 nucleotides) under uncultured bacterium. Its description in RNAcentral is "partial 16S ribosomal RNA". It matches the Rfam family "Bacterial small subunit ribosomal RNA", at positions 30 to 507 of the family's 1533-position model. The record is from RNAcentral.